This 207-nucleotide ribosomal RNA is filed under the name Vibrio sp. B1Z05. RNAcentral's name for it is "partial 16S ribosomal RNA". It matches the Rfam family "Bacterial small subunit ribosomal RNA", at positions 1 to 190 of the family's 1533-position model. The record is from RNAcentral. Lineage: Bacteria; Pseudomonadati; Pseudomonadota; Gammaproteobacteria; Vibrionales; Vibrionaceae.
UUAAUUGAAGAGUUUGAUCAUGGCUCAGAUUGAACGCUGGCGGCAGGCCUAACACAUGCAAGUCGAGCGGAAACGAGUUAUCUGAACCUUCGGGGAACGAUAACGGCGUCGAGCGGCGGACGGGUGAGUAAUGCCUGGGAAAUUGCCCUGAUGUGGGGGAUAACUAUUGGAAACGAUAGCUAAUACCGCAUAACGUCUACGGACCAA